GAUGAAGAACGCAGCGAAAUGCGAUAAGUAAUGUGAAUUGCAGAAUUCAGUGAAUCAUCGAGUCUUUGAACGCACAUUGCGCCCCCUGGUAUUCCGGGGGGCAUACCUGUUCGAGCGUCAUUUCACCACUCAAGCCUCGCUUGGUAUUGGGCAACGCGGUCCGCCGCGUGCCUCAAAUCGACCGGCUGGGUCUUCUGUCCCCUAAGCGUUGUGGAAACUAUUCGCUAAAGGGUGUUCGGGAGGCUACGCCGUAAAACAACCCCAUUUCUAAGGUUGACCUCGGAUCAGGUAGGGAUACCCGCUGAACUUAAGCAUAUCAAUAAGCGGAGGA
RNAcentral lists this unclassified non-coding RNA (331 nucleotides) under soil metagenome. RNAcentral's name for it is "partial contains 5.8S ribosomal RNA, internal transcribed spacer 2, and large subunit ribosomal RNA". The stretch from base 1 to 120 matches the Rfam family "5.8S ribosomal RNA", at positions 35 to 154 of the family's 154-position model. The record is from RNAcentral.